GUAAUUUUUUGCUGACUGUAUUAUAUUGCACAGUAUUAUAGUUUUAUGUUCUCUUAUACAGUACAGCACUGCAUGUAAGAUUUAUGAAAAUAAAAGAAAAGUCAUCAAGUUGGAGUUUCAUUUGACCAUUUCUUUGUUCUAAAUAUUGUAAUGUACCUAUUAUAUACACUUCCUCAUUCACCAGGGAAAUGGAACGUAGCUCUGUCAUUAAACAAGCAAUGUCUGUCCUAGUCUUUCUCUUGGUGACACAUUCCACCUUUCAGCUUCUAGGAGAUGAAUCUGUUUUGUAUGGAUCUUGCAAAUACCAGGGUCUUCGGCAUGACUAAGCCCCUUGCCGAUCCAAGACAAGGCUGAGCACCUAGACAAGCCUACAGAUGAAUAUUUGGAGGCUUUGUGUCCCAUGGAAUGGAGCUAAGCAUCUCUGUGGGAUUGCACACAGUAGCAAGGGCUGACCAGCAUUUUAGAAGAAGGGUGGAGCCAUUUGUCUAAAUCCUGGUCUUUAUCAUCUGACCACAGAUCAGGUCAGGUGAUAAAGGCUGGUGACCCUCCUGGACCAAUCUCUUGGAAAGGUAAGAGCUUGUAGACUUGCAGUGAAUGACAGCCUGUAGCUUCUCAGGACUUCCUGCCUCUACCUCAUCUCUGUAAAACCAGUGCCCCUUGACAGAGAACGAAUGUCUUCCAUGCCUAGUACAUUGGGGAUAGUUGAUUUCGGGGGGAAAUUAUAUAGAGCCACAUUUAUGUUAUAUAGUGGGAAAUUAUUUCCAGCAGUAUCUUUUUGUCCAGCCAUCUGCUUGAAUCAAGUUUCUGUCAGCCUGUGGAAGUAGUAAUUAUUCUCUGCUGUGAACCUGGGCUCCAUGCUGGCUUUCAGCUGAGGGAGUGGACCCUUUGGUUGUUUGUUGUCUAUUGUUAGGAGGUUUUUUGUCACUCAGUAUUGUCAACAGCUGCUUUUCCAGUGGACAUUUUAUCUUUGAGGCUAUAAAUAAUCCCUCCAAACCCAAGUCCCUCUUUAUGAAAGACAAAAUACAUCAGUCAAUCAGGAUAUGAUUUUAUUCAGGCUGUUAUAGUAAAAGAACAUUCCUUAAUGAGGAAUAUGUCAAAGAAAAAGAAAGAAGACUGGGCUUUUGGAGGCAGAGAAGCAAGAAAGUCAUCCGAGAGUCUUAAGGGAUACUCAAGGAAAGAUGGAGGUAGGUCUUAUUUCAUAAUAUGCAAGAGCUGGGUAGUCCUUUGCAUUUAGCUAGUUCCUACAACCAAAAAGGGAAAAACAUUUCUUAGUCCUACUUUCCCAGAGUACAGGCCUUAAGUAAAGUUAACAUUGUCAGUCCUCCAGGUGAAUGUCAUCCUCACUGAACAACUCAGAGGUGAUUGUGUACCUCCUGAGGCCACAUUACAUGGGCAGAGUAACUAAGGAUCUGUACGUGAG
RNAcentral lists this long non-coding RNA (1420 nucleotides) under Heterocephalus glaber (naked mole-rat). RNAcentral's name for it is "lncRNA (ENSHGLG00100034458.1)". The record is from RNAcentral. Lineage: Eukaryota; Metazoa; Chordata; Mammalia; Rodentia; Bathyergidae.